CAGUAGCCACGGUAACACGGAGGGGGCUAGUGUUGUUCGGAAUUACUGGGCGUAAAGCGCACGUAGGCGGCUUGGUAAGUUAGAGGUGAAAGCCCGGUGCUCAACUCCGGAAUUGCCUUUAAGACUGCCGAGCUAGUAGGUGAGAGAGGUAAGUGGAAUUCCGAGUGUAGAGGUGAAAUUCAUAGAUAUUCGGAAGAACACCAGUGGCGAAGGCGGCUUACUGGCUCAUUCUAGACGCUGAGGUGCGAAAGCGUGGGGAGCAAACAGGAUUAGAUACCCCAGUAGUCCCUGUCUCUUAUAC
This 301-nucleotide ribosomal RNA is filed under the name uncultured bacterium. Its description in RNAcentral is "partial 16S ribosomal RNA". It matches the Rfam family "Bacterial small subunit ribosomal RNA", at positions 509 to 807 of the family's 1533-position model. The record is from RNAcentral.